GACGAACGCUGGCGGCGUGCCUAAUACAUGCAAGUCGAGCGGAGUUUCAGAAGUAGCUUGCUACGGAAGAGAUUUAGCGGCGGACGGGUGAGUAACACGUAGGUAACCUGCCUGUAAGACUGGGAUAACCUCCGGAAACGGAAGCUAAGACCGGAUACGUAACCUUCUCGCAUGAGGGGGUUUGGAAAGACGGAGCAAUCUGUCACUUAUAGAUGGGCCUGCGGCGCAUUAGCUAGUAGGUGAGGUAAAGGCUCACCUAGGCGACGAUGCGUAGCCGACCUGAGAGGGUGAACGGCCACACUGGGACUGAGACACGGCCCAGACUCCUACGGGAGGCAGCAGUAGGGAAUCUUCGGCAAUGGACGCAAGUCUGACCGAGCAACGCCGCGUGAGUGAGGAAGGGUUUCGGCUCGUAAAACUCUGUUGCCAGAGAAGAACGUCCGGUGGAGUAACUGCCAUCGGAGUGACGG
Molecule: ribosomal RNA, 470 nt
Filed under: uncultured Paenibacillus sp.
Lineage: Bacteria; Bacillati; Bacillota; Bacilli; Caryophanales; Paenibacillaceae
Description: bacterial SSU rRNA
Rfam family: Bacterial small subunit ribosomal RNA
Source: RNAcentral